AACAAUGCAACGGUAAAAAUUAAAAUCACAAGAUGAAUGCAAGAAAAUAAAAUUCAGGAUUAACCAUGCUAAACAACUAAACAACUAUAAUCACAAAUUAAGACAAUGAGAAAUUGCAGUAGCAAGAAGUAAAGAAAGUAAUGCAUAAUUGGAAAAUCUAUAAAUUUAAAUGUAUGUAUGUAACAAAGAAAAUCACUACUCAAAAUUAAAAACCUCUGCAAAGGAAAGGAGAUGAGUGUGCUUUUUUUUUUUUUUUAAAAAAAGAAAUUCCCAACCGAGUCCACUAUCCGUGUGCAUCUUCUAAAGUCCAAUUGAAAGAAAUGCUGGCUGCACCGUACACUACCACCUCUGGACAUGAGCUACCAAGGUUUCAUUCGAGAAAAGA
This 385-nucleotide long non-coding RNA is filed under the name Vigna radiata. Its description in RNAcentral is "long non-coding RNA (VRAD_LNC000529)". Lineage: Eukaryota; Viridiplantae; Streptophyta; Magnoliopsida; Fabales; Fabaceae. The record is from RNAcentral.